This 500-nucleotide ribosomal RNA is filed under the name uncultured bacterium. RNAcentral's name for it is "partial 16S ribosomal RNA". It matches the Rfam family "Bacterial small subunit ribosomal RNA", at positions 30 to 523 of the family's 1533-position model. The record is from RNAcentral.
AUUGAACGCCGGCGGCAUGCCUUACACAUGCAAGUCGAACGGCAGCACGGGAGCAAUCCUGGUGGCGAGUGGCGAACGGGUGAGUAAAGUAUCGGAACGUGCCCAGUCGUGGGGGAUAACGUAGCGAAAGUUACGCUAAUACCGCAUACGAUCUAUGGAUGAAGGCGGGGGAUCGCAAGACCUCGCGCGAUUGGAGCGGCCGAUAUCAGAUUAGGUAGUUGGUGGGGUAAAGGCUCACCAAGCCGACGAUCUGUAGCUGGUCUGAGAGGACGACCAGCCACACUGGGACUGAGACAUGGCCCAGACUCCUACGGGAGGCAGCAGUGGGGAAUUUUGGACAAUGGGCGCAAGCCUGAUCCAGCCAUCCCGCGUGCAGGAUGAAGGCCUUCGGGUUGUAAACUGCUUUUGUACGGAACGAAAAGGUUUGGCCUAAUAAGCUGAGCUCAUGACGGUACCGUAAGAAUAAGCACCGGCUAACUACGUGCCAGCAGCCGCGGUAA